GCUAGGCGUGGUGGCGCGCGCCUGUAAUCCCAGCUUCUUGGGAGGCUGAGGCAGGAUAAUGGCGUGAACCCGGGAGUCAGAGCUUGCAGUGAGCUGAGAUCACGCCACUGCACUCCAGCCUGGGCGACAGAGCGAGACUCUGUCUCAAAAAAAAAAAAGAGAGACAGGGUGUCACUUUGUCACCCAGAUUGGAGUGCAGUGACGUGAUCAUAGCUCACUGCAGCCUCAAAAUCCUGGGCUUAAGUGAUCCUCCCAUCU
Unclassified non-coding RNA from Homo sapiens (human), 258 nucleotides. The record is from Ensembl. Lineage: Eukaryota; Metazoa; Chordata; Mammalia; Primates; Hominidae.